CUAAUAUGUGUGUAAGUCAACGGGUGAGUAAACCCGUAAGGCGCAAGGAAGCUGAUUGGCUGGAUCCCUCACGGGUGCAUAGCUGACCGACCUUGAUUUUCUGAGAAGAAUUCGAGUGUGAGCAUGCCUGUCGG
This is a non-coding RNA of Brassica napus (rape), 134 nucleotides long. Lineage: Eukaryota; Viridiplantae; Streptophyta; Magnoliopsida; Brassicales; Brassicaceae. The record is from Rfam.